AUCGGUGGAACUUGGCACAACCGCUGCAUUAACUCUCCCAACAGCACAUACGACCUGGCCUUCAACGACGAAGGAUGGGUCUUUCCCGAGAGAACGGGACCGGACAAAGGCGUCCUGCCAGGCAACUGGCGGGACGCC
Molecule: small RNA, 138 nt
Filed under: Pseudomonas sp. NFIX28
Lineage: Bacteria; Pseudomonadati; Pseudomonadota; Gammaproteobacteria; Pseudomonadales; Pseudomonadaceae
Description: Pseudomonas sRNA P11
Rfam family: Pseudomonas sRNA P11
About the family: P11 is located between a putative threonine protein kinase and putative nitrate reductase and appears to be conserved in several Pseudomonas species. P11 has a predicted Rho independent terminator at the 3'end but the function of P11 is unknown.
Source: RNAcentral